Molecule: RNA transcript, 1266 nt
Organism: Balaenoptera musculus (blue whale)
Lineage: Eukaryota; Metazoa; Chordata; Mammalia; Artiodactyla; Balaenopteridae
Gene: MOG
Gene name: myelin oligodendrocyte glycoprotein
Exons: 7
Source: RefSeq, a predicted model, not a curated record
CUGUGCCUGGAAGCACAGCUGUGACUCUGCUGGGGAGGAAGCAGGGCCAGGGCAGCUCUGCCCUCCCCAAUCCUCCCCUGGGUCUUUUCAGCCGUGGGGACACGCACCCCGAGGGCCUCUGCUUGGCCUGACCCUGCUGCAGGGGCUCUCUUUCCCCACUGACAGUGGAGAUGGCCAGUUUUUUGAGCUCCUCUCUGCCCAGCUGCCUCCCCUCCCUCCUCCUCCUCCUCCUCCAGCUGUCUUCCAGCUCUGCAGGACAGUUCAGAGUAAUGGGACCAGGGCAGCCCAUCCGGGCGCUGGUGGGGGAUGAAGCGGAAUUGCCCUGUCGCAUAUCUCCAGGAAAGAACGCUACAGGCAUGGAGGUGGGAUGGUACCGACCCCCCUUCUCCAGGGUGGUUCAUCUCUACCGAAAUGGCAAGGACCAAGCUGAAGAGCAGGCGCCUGAAUACCGGGGCCGCACGGAGCUGCUGAAAGAGACUAUUGGGGAGGGGAAGGUGACCCUCAGGAUCCGGAAUGUAAGGUUCUCAGAUGAAGGAGGUUUCACCUGCUUCUUCCGAGAUCAUUCUUACCAAGAAGAGGCAGCAAUGGAGUUGAAAGUGGAAGAUCCCUUCUACUGGAUCAACCCUGGGGUGCUGGUGCUCAUCGCAGUUCUGCCUGUGCUCCUUCUGCAGAUCACUGUGGGCCUUGUCUUCCUCUGCCUGCAGCGCAGACUCAGAGGAAAAAUUCCAGCAGAGAUAGAGAAUCUCCACCGGACUUUUGAUCCCCACUUCCUGACGGUGCCCUGCUGGAAGAUAACCUUGUUUGUAAUCGUGCCAGUUCUCGGACCCCUGGUGGCCUUGAUCAUCUGCUACAACUGGCUACACCGAAGACUGGCAGGUGCAGUGCUGGGGCAGCAAACAGGACCACUGAGCAGCAGGGGAGCAAGCCAGCCCUGAGUGGGAAACAUAAAGAGGGUGGAUGGAACCAGGGCUCAAGAUUCAGAGCUGGAAUUUCCUUCCUGCUCUGUCCACAUGGCCAACUCCAGGCUCCUCAGAGAAUCCAUGAAGAGAACCACUUACUGAGCUCUGUGGGGUCCCUUAGUGGAAAGGGAGGGGGCGUGACUAUGAAUUCCACAGGGAGGAUGUGGGAGGAGUUAGUCGUCUUCCACUCAUCUAUUUCUCUUUGUUUUCAGGGCAAUUUCUUGAAGAGCUAAGAAACCCCUUCUGAAUGAUGUCGCAUCUUGGCAGGGUGGAGAAGAGCCUGGUUGGCCCAGAGACUGGUCCUCGG